UGUAAACAGAGAAAACAUGCAAAGUCCACACAGAAUGACCACAGGUGGGAAAGCCCAUGACCUUUUUGCUGUGAGGCAACAGUGCUAACCACUAAGUCACCGUGCUGCAACUGUAAUGUUGAUGUAAUACCUAUGCUUGAAUGGCAGUUUUCUCACACCAUGACUGAGUGUGUUAGAUGACCAAAAAUGUUCUCUUUGAGGUUUGAUGAAAUAUUUCACUGUAAAGAUGCAGAGGUCUGAAUUUCACUGUAAUAUUAAUAAUUGUCUUUAAUCUAGCAUUAAUCAUAAUCCUGACUAACAUUAACUUGAGAUCUGUGAUCACACUGUCAAAAUGAUACCCCACUCUGUCUUACUAGUUGCUUUGCAU
Long non-coding RNA from Thalassophryne amazonica, 367 nucleotides. RefSeq lists it as uncharacterized. Lineage: Eukaryota; Metazoa; Chordata; Actinopteri; Batrachoidiformes; Batrachoididae. The record is from RefSeq and is a predicted model, not a curated record. The transcript is spliced from 3 exons.